CAGCCGCCGCGGUAAUACCGGCGGCCCGAGUGGCGGUCACUAUUAUUGGGCUUAAAGCGUCCGUAGCCGGGUUGGGAAGUCCUCCGGGAAAUCUGGCCGCUUAACGGUCAGAAUGCCGGAGGAUACUCCCAGCCUAGGGAGCGGGAGAGGCCGAGGGGAUUCCCGGAGGAGGGGGGAAAUCCUAUAAUCCCGGGAGGACCACCUGUGGCGAAGGCGCUCGGCUGGAACGCGUCCGACGGUGAGGGACGAAGGCCAGGGGAGCAAACCGGAUUAGAUACCCGGGUAGUCCUGGCUGUAAACGAUGCGGACUAGGUGUCGGGCAAGCUAAGGGCUUGUCCGGUGCCGCAGGGAAGCCGUUAAGUCCGCCGCCUGGGGAGUACGGCCGCAAGGCUGAAACUUAAAGGAAUUGGCGGG
This 414-nucleotide ribosomal RNA is filed under the name uncultured microorganism. Its description in RNAcentral is "bacterial SSU rRNA". It matches the Rfam family "Archaeal small subunit ribosomal RNA", at positions 459 to 872 of the family's 1478-position model. The record is from RNAcentral.